ACUCUUGUGGAAAACCAUAGCAUUCCAUCGUGCUGGAAAAAAGGAUCUGAUAAUGGAUGUUUCCAAUAAGUGCUCCCGCAACCAAGAGGAAGAUACCCUGUUAAUUGAUUUGGAAAAACCUGCUGUUGAAAAAGUUGAUAAAAAUCCACCAUUGAUCCCUGCACCAAGCACCAUGGUUAAUCCAGACAACAAUCCCUUUGAUGCUGUCGCUGAGCUUACAAAGCAAGACCCAUUUGAAAUGGUUUUGCAAAAAGCAUUCAGUAAAGAUAAAUCAACUAACACCAACAUCGAAGUCCGCUAUGAUCUUGUAUCUUUAGACGAUUCUGAUGAAAAUAACUCUACCUCCAAUGGCGUAACUCCAAAAUAUAGCAAAACCUCAAAUCUAGUCUCAUCAAAUGUUAAUAGUGGCAAUGAUUCAAAAAAUGAUUCUUUUUACUCACCAAUUUUGCCGCAAAACCAACUGCAAGUUACUUGCUAUUCCAAGAACAACGGCAAUUCUCUUGAAUGCUCUGACGGAUUAAGUUCAAAGAAAUCCAGCACAAGUAUAAAUAUCUCAGCUCUGUCAUCGUUGCAUUGUAUUUCACCAAAUUCCAACAACGAGUGUGAAAACUCUGUAUUCCUAGGUGAUUCUUUAAGCUCUGAUCAAAUAUCAAAGAGUACGUCGCCGCUCGAAUACAGAACGUUAUCAAGGAAACACUGAACAAAUCCUUCUCAGGCUUUGAUCAAAAGAAAGAUCUUACAACAAAAGGUAGAAGCACCGCAAAAUCUGUGUCUACCGUUGAUGGUUGGUGCUCUCCUGAUAAAAAUGAAACAAAAGCUGUCUCAGAUUAUUCAAGUAAAUCAUAUGGUUCAUGAAUCAAGGUUUCUUAAAAACAACUGCAAGUUUAACUUCAGAUAAUACUUUCAAUGAAUUUCGGAAACAGUCGCUGAUGAUUUGAAAGCACCUAGUCUCUCUGAAAAAUACAAGGUAUGUUACCUCUGAAUGUUUAUUUUUCUUGUAUGUGUACCUUCUUGGUAUUUUAAAGUAUAUUAGCGGCAUAAGUCCGCAAUCACAUAUCUCGUUUGCGGUGUCUGAAAAUCUCCGCCUCUAUGUUUUUUUUUAAAAGAGAACAAAUUUAUAUCAUUCCUUGAAGUUUAUGCAGAAUUUUCUCUGCACAGAGAAGAAAAAUCACGGCAGUUUUAAAGAAUGGUGUUGAGUAGUUUUCCGUUUAAAAAAUCAAUUAUGACAGGAAGUCUGCGACGUUGCAAAACGAUGUGAUUGCCGACUUACACCGUCAAUAUUUUAUCUUGGGUAGGUAAAGCUUUGAAAAUGUACCUAAUGUUCAUGAAUAAAAAUGUAAUUUUAACAAGUUUCUGCAGAGGAUUAAAUGAACAAAAAAAAAGAAGAAAAUAUGUAUCUUCCAGUAAGUAGGUUUUUCCUCCGCUGAGAUGUGGUGAAAAAAAGAAUACAAAAAAUUCUGCAGACCUGAGUACCCCUCUUUACCUCAUUCUCAUGAGGGUUCCCCCAUUUUACGGAAGCAUGUAAGGAAGUUAUUGUACUUUUGAGGAUUUACUACCCAUCAGUACAUUGGAGAUGUAUCUUCAAAUUAAUCCUAAUUUUCUUAAAAUUUUUCCAGGUCAACAGUUCCCUAUUCCGUCUCCACCUGUAGAAAUCCUGCGCGAGGCAACAAGAUUAAGUCGAUCAUUUUCAGUUGGGUCAACAGACUAUGCAAAUUUAUUAGGUAAGUUUUCAGGAAGUACUUAAAAAGUUGGGAUACUUAUAUUUUUCAGUUUUUCAUUUAAUCAAAUUUUUGCUGAGGAAAUCCCUUUUCAGGUCACUGAAAAAUGCAACCCUGUUUCAGAAGAGAAAAUAUUGCCCCAAAUAUCUCUUGAAAUUCCAAAGAGAAUUGACUGCUGUGUAUACUUUCAUCCGCAUAGAUUAAUUUAUUUUGCGGUUGCAACUGUAACAAGAGAUUUUAUAGCCCAACCAUGCUUGCAAUAUCAUCGCUUUCUGAACUGAAUAUUCUUUCUGUUUGUUUCUGGAGAAAAUCAUCAGUUCUGAAUCAAUCGGCUGCUCUUUCACAUAGUAUUUACAGUGGUUGAUCCUAAUGUCAUCGCAUCCUAUGAAAUUAUUAGCCAGGGCUGGCCGGAACACAUACACCCAGCGACUGCCAAGCUUAAAAGAAAAGGAUAUUUUGCGUUGUCUCUGAUUUUAAAGUGGUGCCCCUUUUCGAUGGUUGUCAACGCUUGACUCACCUUCAGUCAAACAUCUCAUUAGCCUCAGACCAAUAAAAAUUUUUUUUUCAUUUCUGCAACCUUUUUUUAGUCUUUUUUCUUCUUUCCAGUUAAAAACAAUUGUUUUGAGCUAUUCUGAGCUUGGAAAUCCGUUUUUCUCCAAAAUCCUUGCCUGCAUCACUUGGUAUUAAAACGAUUCCUGAACCAUGCAAUAGCCUCAUCGUGAUAUUCGAGUUUUUGGCAUAAUCAUGUACAAAGAAUCUGAAUUGUCAAUGUGAAUUGGAUUUUUACAACACAAAAUAUGUCACAGCACAAACUGUAGGAAAGGCUCUUAUUGACAGUGUGCAUCACACAUUUUAAAGUCCCUCAAAAUCUAUCUGGGUCUUCUCUCUUUUUGAAAAUACUCAGUUUUAUUUUCCUAUUUUAUGUGUUUCUGCCCGCAGAUAACAAUGAGGAUCUUUGUCAAUCAAACCAAAAUGGGAAACACUAGAUUCUGAUUCUGAUGGAGACGGCUCCGAUGACAGUUUCAAAAGCCUAAGACUGAAUAUUCGCCCGGCUAGCA
This 2776-nucleotide long non-coding RNA is filed under the name Bemisia tabaci. Its description in RNAcentral is "lncRNA ENSSWEETPG002789". Lineage: Eukaryota; Metazoa; Arthropoda; Insecta; Hemiptera; Aleyrodidae. The record is from RNAcentral.